Molecule: long non-coding RNA, 7825 nt
Filed under: Oryza sativa (Asian cultivated rice)
Lineage: Eukaryota; Viridiplantae; Streptophyta; Magnoliopsida; Poales; Poaceae
Description: long non-coding RNA (OSAT_LNC001096)
Source: RNAcentral
UGUGAAGCCAUCCCUUCCUUCCGUCUUUAAAGGCAUCGCUGCCGGGCGGCUGUUAGCUGAAUCGAUCGCAAGGAAAGACAAAGGAGGAGAGUUCAGUCGACUUGGGAUCGAGUAGAAUCGCCGGCUUCUGCUGCUAUUGCGGUACUCUUCCUUCCUUGAAUGUCGUUUACUUCUCCAGGUGCAUAGCAUAGCUUUUUUUUUUUUUUUUGGGGGGGGACGGAGACCGACGAGAUUAAUUGUUGUUUCUGUUUUGAAGCUGACCAUUAUAUCCAAUCCCAAUCCAAUCGACGAUGGGCCUCUCUCGUCGGUUUCUGAACCUGAUCGUGGACAACCGCAUCCCUGGAGCCAAAUCGCUGCGCUGCAUCGACCUCACCCUCGCGCGCUACAAGUUGUUCAACACUACAACACCUGCUGCACUGACACUGAAUGGGAACGGAAACGGAUUGAAGAAAAGGAUGGAGAAGAUUUGUCUUCCCAGCCCAAUCUUCAACUUGGGAGCACCAGGCGAACGGAUACACAUGUUCCCUGCUUUGGAGCGCAGGGCUUUCUCUUUGGACCAGUCGGGGCGUGGCCUCCUUCUGGAGGCAGACACAUCCCGUCUGGUGGUGAUGCCAAAUCUCCACAAGCCCAAGUUGGAACCCAUUGCCCUCUACAUCCCCGGCGCUGAGAUAGAUCUGGAUGACCUUGAUGGCGGCGGUGGCGGUACUCUUUUUAUCAUGGAUAGAAUUGCGAAACCACAGGAGGCUGACUAUUUGUUCGAGGCUUUGGUGUACCGCAUGUUCUGUUCCAGCUACUUAUCAAAGUCCUGGGACUGCCAACUCCUCCCACCACCGCCGCCAUACGUCGUCAAAUGUGGCGUUGACUUUCUAAAGAUCAUCUCAUAUGGUUUGGUUAAAGGUGGCUCUGAGAUCUGCAUAUCCAUCGACGGGGUUGGUACUUAUUGCUUUGACACUGUGAAACACACUUGGAUUGAAGUGGGCAAGUGGAUGCUACCCUUCCAAGGCAAGUUUGAGUAUGUCCACGAGCUCAAGCUCUGGUUUGGCUUCACUCCCAACGAUGGCCACUUUGCUGUUGCUGACCUCUCUGCCAUGGACGAGUACCUGCAACCACAGAUACGCCACUGCUGGAACGAACUUGAUGAGUCACUCAUCCAAGGAUGGAAGCAGAUACGGGACCCUCAGCUUGUCAACCUGGGGUCUGCCAAGUUCUGCAUUGCAAGGUUCUUUCACACUGGUGACUUUGGCGAUGGAUUGAGUGGCCAGAAUGUUUCUGUCCUGACUGGUGUAGAGUUUACCCAUGCCAAUGUUGACCAUGAGAAUAUUGGAUUGAUCAAGCACAAAUCGAGAUGUCACAAGUCUAGCUGCGGUGAGGAGACCAUCACGGCAGUUUUCUGAUUAAUUUAAGGGCUGACUCCCCAUCCUUUGAAUAAUUUUCUGUCUCUCUCUUUAAGAGAACUUGUGUCUCGUCCUAAUUUUACUUUAGCAUAAUAAAAAUGAUACUUCCUCCGUUUCAUAAUGUAAGACUUUCUAGCAUUGUCCACAUUUAUAUAUAUGCUAAUGAAUCUAAGCACACAUAUAUGUUUAGAUUUAUUGACAUCUAUAUGAAUACAGGUAAUGCUAGAAAGUCUUACAUUAUGAAACAGAGGUUAUGAAACAGAGGUAGUACCUUCGUUGUCCGCAUGUUGUAAUUGUCUCCUGCACUUAAGUAACUGUACCAUUUACUACUACUAGUAACUACUAUAAACUUACUCUUAAUUUAUGUGUUGUCUACUGCAAUGGUAAAAUUCGUUUCAAAUGCUUUCUUGGUUUUGGUUGGAGCGGAAACCAAGAAGGAAUGGUAAUCUUGUGUGCUUCCUCUGUCCCAAAAUAAGUUAACCGUGCGGGACUUUUCCAGAGGAAGAGAGGAUGAUACGUGAUGCGGUGUAUAUUCCUUUUCUGAAAAAAGUCUAAGUUAUACUACGGUUAAUUUCAACUUUUUCAUAUUCUAUCUUGAUCUUAAAAAAUAUAUUUGGAAAUUAUCGUGACCUCAGUUUUCAUCUUCUUUCAUAGACUUUGAUUUUCUAAAGAAAAUUGGUUUCUUAAUUCUAAAGAUGCCAGUACGUCACUGUUCAUUUUGUAGUUAACUCUGGUACAUGUUUAUGUGAAAUUUUGAUUAUUCAGCAGUUGAAAGGAAUGGAGGAUUGCUUUGUGAUUUAUAAUCACCUGUGCUGCUACUUGUGCUGCAGUCAAUAGUCUGAUGGGAAAAAUGGAAUUGAACCACUGCAAGUGCAAGAUAUACUGAAAUCAAAUCAGUGGGUAAAGUCUGACAAGUUAUCUGCUGCACUGAAAUCUCCUCAUGCGUUUGUGAGCAAGGUAUCCAGUAGCAUUAUUAUCUCUGUAUAUUUUCAGAGUAUAUAUUAGUUGCAACAGAUAGUCGUCACAUAUAUAAUCUAUAGAUGGCCAUAAGGCUCGCCCGGCACGGCCCGGCCUAGGAUCGGGCUAGGCACGGCCCACCAGCGAUCGGGCUGGAACGGCUCAGUCGGCACUUCGUGUUGGGCCGUGCUGGCCCAUGGGCUGCACCUCCGGCCUAGGCAUGGCCUACUAGCAAUCGGGCCAUGCAGUGCUAGCCUGAAGGCACGGGUGGUCCAUCGUGCCUUCUUUGAAAUAAGUCUAUUUCUCCUCUCUCCUCUUUGGGCUGUGACAUAUAUGUAGCUAAAAUAAGUCUAUUUUAUGUCCCUAUUCUUUGGGCCUUGUUAUAUAAUACGUCUAUUUUUGCUCCCUCGUGCCCUACAUAUGGUUGAAAUUAAGUCUGUUAUGCAUCCCCACACUCUCGUACAGGGCCUAGUCGUGCUGGGCCGGCCCAGUGUGUCGGUGGGGAAGCCCAGGCACGGCUCGGCGGUAAGGCCGUGCCGUGCUUGGGCUAGGCCAAAAUGCCGUGCCUUGGGCCGGGCCAUCGAGCCUCGGGUCUAUGGCUAUCUAUAAUAGGAAAAAGUACACCGAAGGUCCCUCAACUUGUCAUCGACUUACAAAAUCGUCCUCCAAUUGCAAAACCAGAUAUAUGACAUCCCUCAACUUACAAAACUGUUCACUUUAGGUCCUUCCGUGGUUUUAACCCCGGUUUUGUCCGAUGGGACAGCUGAGUCAGCGUGGGACCUAUGUGGGCUCCACAUGUCAGGGUGUCCAACUCAGCACCUUCUCUCUUUCCCCUCUUCUCUACCUUUCUCCUUCACUUUCCUUUCCUCUCUCGUGUCUCCGACGAGCAAUCCGGCGAGGUGUGCCAUGAACUCGGUGUUGGUAACGCACGCAGCGAGGUGCGGCGGUGUCCGCCGGGAGAAUGCCGGGAUUGUGCCGACAAGGGUCGGGUUCAGGCAGACGCAUCGCGGCGGCUGCAACGGCGGCGGCAGGAGGGACGACUUGAGCGCAGCUGGAGUCGCUGGAUAGGUUCAAUUGGGCGGGGUAUAGAGCCGUCGUCGACAUGGCCCGCGACGAGGGGCUCAGCCUCCGCGUCACGCUCCACUCUGGCGACCCCGACAUCCUCUUCACCGACUGCUCCAGCGGCCGUGACUGCCACUUCUUCGCCGUCGACGAGCUCCCCGUUAUCCACGGCAAGGCGCCGCUCGACUGCUACGACGCCUUCUUCCUGUUAACGAUGAAAUUUGGUAAGUCCAAAGUCAUCAUCAGCUGAAAGUCACUAUCGGCUUCCGAGUUCUAGAAGCAGCCGAUGGGAGUUGUCAAGUCGCCAUGCUAUCAUGUUCUUAGUGGAGUCGAAUCAAUUGAAGGAAGCUUAUCUAGAAGAGUCCGAUUUCAAGAAGGAUGCGGCGUGGCAGUUUAUCUAUUAAUUAGGAAUAGUUUGUUAGUUUCCUUUUAUCUUUAGGAAAGUGUGUUUAGUGUCCGAUAAGUACUUUAUGUUUUCCUUUUAUCUUUAGGAAAGUUUCUUUCUUGUCCGACAAGGACUUGUAUCAACCCAUGGGUAUAAAUAUGUACACCCAGGGUCUAUGCAAUCAAUCUCUCGAUCAAUACAACUACUCUCGGCGCAUCGCUACCCUAUUUACCGAGGUUUUACUUAUCUUCCGGCGGAAUUUGGGCACCUGACGCGGGGCUGCAUCGGCUUUCGAUCUCCGGCGAAGGGGUAAGUCCUACGUUCCGUCGGACCCUGGUGAAUCUGUCAUCUACGUCGGCGUCGCUCAAGGCUACAUCGCUUCGAUCUCUUGGAUCACUCUGGUUUGGUUGAUUGAUUUGCCUACCUGAUAUCUCAAUUCUAUCUCUAAUUGCAUUGUGUUUAGAGACGCAUCGGUUUAGUUGGAACUGUCUCGGUUAGGUCUGAUCUUCUAUCUUAGCCGAUAUAUCUCUACAAUCGCAAUGCUGUUCUAAAUAGAUUUGUUAUAUCCAUCACAUUAGACAGAUCUAUCGGCUUAUCGAGUAUUAGAUUAUCAUAUACAAUCUCGUGCUGCAUCGGUUAGGUUCGACCUACUAGAUUGUUGUUGAUAAUAUAAGUCUUGCUAAGCUGAUAGGUUCAUGCUAAUGUUUUAUCGGAGUGUUAGCCGAUAAGUUAUCUGGACGUUGCAUCGGCUUAGAAGGAUUACAUAUACAUAUUAGUUGGAUUUAGCCGAUGACAACAAAGGUUUCACUGUUUAAUCUAAUCUGUGGAUUUUAUGGCAUCGGACCUCCAGCCGAUGUAUAUUUUAAACUUCGGAUCAGUGCUUAUUCUAUCAUAUCAUUGCUAGCCGAUUGUUUUCUAUUGGAUUACGUUAUUGUUAUAUUAUAUUAUUGACAGCCGAUUGCCUUUAUAUCAUUAUCUACAUUAGACAUAUAGCCGAUUGCUUAAACCCUAUCGCUAUCGGUUGGUACAUCGGCUAUUAUCGGCUAUCGGCUGGGAUUGCUCCAUCGGCUGUUUAGCCGAUCAGUUGUUUGAUCUACUGUUUACAUAUCUUGUCAGUUGCAAGGUCAAACUGACUGGCACACCCGCAUCUCAUUAAGUUUUGGACCUGCACAGGAGCUAAGCAGAUCUCCUAGACCGGUGUGUUCGAUUUUUUCGUCAACACUUCCGUAGCUUCGCCGACGCGUUCCAGGACCUCUCCGACUCCACCAUCCGUACGUCGUUGAUUGUGAACACCUUCACGCCAUGGAUGCGCGUGUGCAUGCUCGGUGACGACAAGAAGCAUUACAACAUCGACGCCGGCGCCAUCAACAAGUUUGUCUUUCAUUUUGUCCUCCACCCACUCUGAUUCAGGACAAAAUGUUGUAACUGAAGUGUGCUAGAACUAAAACAAAAGGGACAAAAGGGAUUGUUGACGAGCAAGCACACGAACAAACGCUCAGCAUCUCACUCUGCAUCAAAUUAUGAGCAUAAAAUCCUGCAGCUUGUGAGAUCGUGAGAUCUAGAUUUUUGAAUUGGACAGUAGGUGGCUCUUGUCGGUGAAGCACGCUGAAUCCCACAUUCCCAGCAGGCAUAGAGUUCAGCUUUCACGUGGAGUAUCACCGGGCAGUCCUCGAGAGUGUGCUUGGAUGUCCUAUGCACAGGACACCAAGAUCUCGGUUUUAGGGUGGUCGUUCUUGUCGGCUCUGAUUUUUUGUUUAGAGGACAAAAUUCGGCCGCUUGAGGAUUCCUCCUGGGUAUUGGGGCCGUCGAUGUUCCAUUCUCCACUUGAGUGGGAGGAAUUAUCGGCGGUGCGUCGUUUCUCGGAGUCGUAACCGUGCCUUUCUCGUUCCCGAUAAUUAUUGGGCCAGUCGAGAUCGGCGUGAUGGUGUAGACCGGAAAGAAAAUGGAUCUGACUUGAGUCCACACCAGCGAUGUCGAGGUAGAGGCUCCUUGAUCGACGCCGGUGUUGAUACUGCUGUCAGGAAGUCUUGAAGUCAUACUGGUAGAUCCUUGAGCACCAAGUCCUCCUACCUGGCGUGCCACUGUCGACAAGCGAUACUUGUGGACCGGAUGAGUUGAGUAUUGGGGUAUGUUGGAACGAGGGUCUACGUAGUACGACAUCAAGCAAACAAAAGAUAAGGAUUAUACUAGUUCAGGCCCCCUUAUCAGGUAAUAGCCCUAGUCCAGGUUAUAUGGGAUUUAUGAUGAUGAGAAUAGGUUACAAAGAGAGUAGUCGAAUCAGAUGAUACCGGUGAGAUCGUAGUCGAGGGAUUUGACGAGAUCUCCCGACGAGUUGGCUCCACGUACUUCGGCUUCGUAAUAUAUGGUGGGUGUGUUGGCGAUUGAAUUGGAUGCCUUUCACCCCUCCCCAGGGGUCCCUUUUAUACCGUGGAGGGUGAGCGAGGGCCUGAGCGGCGAUAGAGGAUGUGCAGGAGAUUUCAAGUAGACGAUACAACAGGACCUCCGUCCCUCACCAUUGGCAACCCCACUGACCUCCAUCCUUCGCUCGCCACCGCCGCACCGACACUCCCCUCCCUCCAUGUCUCCUGCGGGCCCAACUGCCUCUCCCUGCCACUUUUUCCUCGCCUUCGUACUUGGCUCCGGCCUCACCGUUUCCUUCUCUCUUGUCCUCAAGCUGUCGUUGGGUGACUCCGCCGACAGCAGAGACAGCUCGGCGCCGACGAUGUUGACCCCGUCGUGGCCAUUCGAAGGUGACAAUGAGGAGCGUCAUCCCGGUGCGGGGUGACACGCGACGGUAAGGAGAGAGAAGGGAUGAGAGGAGGAAGAUGAGGACAUGUAUGACCCACAUGCCAAUGACCCCCACAAUAUUUUCUGUGAAUGACAGAUGGGUCCCACGUACUUUUUUGCCUUUUGUUUUAUUAUAAUGCCACAAAAGCGCCACGUCGAUGUCACGUGGGAUAGAGACCAAGUCAACAACGCCACGUAGGCGCCACGUGAGCCAAAAUCGCUUCCUAAACCACCCAGAGACAUAGUUUCCAUCGGUUUUGAUAGUUGGAGGGGUCGAUAUACCCGGUUUUGUGGUUGGAGGACAUGAUUUAUACUCAGGCGAUCGUUGAGGGAGUCAAAAUGAACUUUUUACGAUUGUUUAUACAUAUACAGCCCCUUUACAGAGACAGCCCAAAUAGCGGCCCAUUGUGACCCUUUUUGUCAAGGUUUGUGAAAAGCGGCCCAUUGAUCCUCAGUAAACAGAGCCCCUUUCGCGAGAGCUCCUCUGAAAUAUCGUCCGUCCAGACCUAGAAACCAUCUGUCCCUCAAUCCCGCGACGCCGCCGCCGUUCUGCUCCGGUGCUAGGGCUUGGGAGCUGAGCUCCACCCUGCCCCCUCCAUUCUCCAGCUCGCCUCAGGUCAGUACCCUGCAGAUCCGCUUGAUCUUAACCCUCUUUUCAUUGAUCAAAAGCUAAUUUAUUAUCCUAUUUCUCAUCGCCUUUGUUUGUUAUUCUUCUCUUGUUUGUUUGGCUUUUGUGAAGCCAUCCCUUCCUUCCGUCUUUAAAGGCAUCGCUGCCGGGCGGCUGUUAGCUGAAUCGAUCGCAAGGAAAGACAAAGGAGGAGAGUUCAGUCGACUUGGGAUCGAGUAGAAUCGCCGGCUUCUGCUGCUAUUGCGGUACUCUUCCUUCCUUGAAUGUCGUUUACUUCUCCAGGUGCAUAGCAUAGCUUUUUUUUUUUUUUUUGGGGGGGGACGGAGACCGACGAGAUUAAUUGUUGUUUCUGUUUUGAAGCUGACCAUUAUAUCCAAUCCCAAUCCAAUCGACGAUGGGCCUCUCUCGUCGGUUUCUGAACCUGAUCGUGGACAACCGCAUCCCUGGAGCCAAAUCGCUGCGCUGCAUCGACCUCACCCUCGCGCGCUACAAGUUGUUCAACACUACAACACCUGCUGCACUGAUACUGAAUGGGAAAAUAUCUGAAUCAGAACGCCCACAAGACUCCACCCCAUGGGCGGGUGCCGACAAUAACGAGAAGGAAGCGGCAGC